Molecule: long non-coding RNA, 702 nt
Organism: Mesocricetus auratus (golden hamster)
Lineage: Eukaryota; Metazoa; Chordata; Mammalia; Rodentia; Cricetidae
Exons: 2
Source: RefSeq, a predicted model, not a curated record
ACAGUUUCCUUUGAUUGGUGGAUUACAGAAAUAGGCCAGCAGUGGAAUUCAUUAUAUUCAGCUAAGUAAAAAUGAAAAAUAUAAUAACUUUCCCCCAUCGUCAAUGUGAAGAAAAUAUAGCAUGUAAUGACAUAUGAAUCAUCAUUAGAUGACACAGACUCUUCAGAGAGAGAACCGUGAUGAUCAUCCUAUGCCUAAUUUGGGCUGCUGCGUGCUCCUGGGGAGAAACGGCUGAGGGUGUCAGAGCCAAGCAGGGCUUGUUCUCCCGGCUCUCACUCCACUCUCCCAUGCUGGCCCAGGCCAGCUCACUGCCCAGGUGGACAGGCCCUCUUGCUCAGCGGAAGACUGACUUCAUAGCUCAGCUCUCUUCUCCACAAGCAAAUUCGGGAGGCAGAUGGAAGAUGAGCCUGGAAAGAGGGGUCAGGGAGCUACCUCUAAAAUCAAAUUUGUGGUGGAGAAUGGAGAACAACCAGGCAGUCUGGGGAAGAGUCUGGGAGCCACGAAGACAAACAUUAUAAUGGAUUGGGCACUGGACUGAUGUUUGGCACACAGUUAAUUGUUUUUAACAGCCCCUUCCUCUAUAUGAAAAAUUACUUUUGAUGAGAAUCAUAAAAGAAAGUGAGCAGUAACAGUCAGAAAAGAAAUAUUCUUUGUUAAAUUCUGUUUUAUAAAUAUGACAUUAAAAAUAAGUUGCUAAUGUAA